Long non-coding RNA from Homarus americanus (American lobster), 626 nucleotides. RefSeq lists it as uncharacterized. The transcript has 3 exons. Lineage: Eukaryota; Metazoa; Arthropoda; Malacostraca; Decapoda; Nephropidae. The record is from RefSeq and is a predicted model, not a curated record.
UUGUAUCAUCACACCUUACUCCUGUCUCUUGCUGAUAUCGUAACUGAGGCUGGUGAACCAUGAAUACCAAGAGCAUUGUAUUCCUGCUGGUGCUGGUGAUCGUGGCCGUCACCGUUGUCAAUGGAAGCAUCAAGUAUCCCUGCCCACAAGUCAACGGGUUUUGUGUAAAUUUUUGUAGUUACGGACAAGAAAUAUCUACCGGCAUCUGCUACGGCAAUAAUAUAUGUUGCAGGGUAAAACAGCAUUACCACUAGUCCACAACAGUGGCCAGACCUGACGGACGCCACCAUGACCUAUAAGAAGACACCCUCAACUGUGUUUGGUGAUCAUCGACGAAACUUUUGUUUUCACAUGCGAUUAGAGAACUUGCUUUACCUAUGAUUUUUUUUAAGCAUUUGGAUUCUGCAACAACCUUUAUUUUCUUGUUCUUGCACAUUUUAAGAAAUGAUGAAGAAUAUUAGUAAAAUUUAAUUUAACUUGAGACUUGCGUCAUUAGCAUGCGCAUCUGCUUAUUUUUGACGUGUAUUGCCUUGUUAAUUCCCUCAUCUAUAAAUGAUAACAUUCAUCUUUGUUUUGAGAGCUUGAUAAUAAAAUUGUUAUAUUAUAAUUAAAAUAAUUGCCUCUUA